UCAAGGUGUAUAUCGCCAUUGCUGCGGUUAAAAAGCUCGUAGUUGGAUCUGCGCCUUCGGACUCGGUCCGCCCAACGGGUGUGAACUGGGAUCCAAGGCUUAUACUGCUGGUUUUCCCUUGAUGCUCUUUACUGGGUGUCUUGGGUGGCUAGCGAGUUUACUUUGAAAAAAUUAGAGUGCUUAACACAGGCUAACGCCUGAAUACUUGUGCAUGGAAUAAUAGAAUAAGACCACGGUUCUAUUUUAUUGGUUUUCGGAACUGUGAUAAUGGUUAAGAGGGACAGACGGGGGCAUUCGUAUCGCUGCGUGAGAGGUGAAAUUCUUGGACCGCAGCGAGACGCCCUACUGCGAAAGCAUUUGCCAAGAAUGUCUUCGUUAA
Molecule: ribosomal RNA, 379 nt
Filed under: uncultured eukaryote
Lineage: Eukaryota
Description: partial 18S ribosomal RNA
Rfam family: Eukaryotic small subunit ribosomal RNA
Source: RNAcentral